This 253-nucleotide ribosomal RNA is filed under the name uncultured bacterium. RNAcentral describes it as "partial 16S ribosomal RNA". It matches the Rfam family "Bacterial small subunit ribosomal RNA", at positions 524 to 776 of the family's 1533-position model. The record is from RNAcentral.
UACGUAGGGCGCAAGCGUUGUCCGGAAUUAUUGGGCGUAAAGAGCUCGUAGGCGGUUUGUUGCGUCCGCUGUGAAAACUCGGGGCUUAACCUCGGGCCUGCAGUGGGUACGGGCAGACUAGAGUGCGGUAGGGGAGACUGGAAUUCCUGGUGUAGCGGUGAAAUGCGCAGAUAUCAGGAGGAACACCGGUGGCGAAGGCGGGUCUCUGGGCCGUAACUGACGCUGAGGAGCGAAAGCGUGGGGAGCGAACAGG